RNAcentral lists this ribosomal RNA (253 nucleotides) under uncultured bacterium. RNAcentral's name for it is "partial 16S ribosomal RNA". It matches the Rfam family "Bacterial small subunit ribosomal RNA", at positions 524 to 776 of the family's 1533-position model. The record is from RNAcentral.
UACGUAGGGUGCGAGCGUUGUCCGGAAUUAUUGGGCGUAAAGGGCUCGUAGGCGGUUUGUCGCGUCGGGAGUGAAAACCUUGGGCUUAACUCAGGGCUUGCUUUCGAUACGGGCAGACUAGAGGUAUGCAGGGGAGAACGGAAUUCCUGGUGUAGCGGUGAAAUGCGCAGAUAUCAGGAGGAACACCGGUGGCGAAGGCGGGUCUCUGGGCCGAUACUGACGCUGAGGAGCGAAAGCGUGGGGAGCAAACAGG